This 251-nucleotide ribosomal RNA is filed under the name uncultured bacterium. Its description in RNAcentral is "partial 16S ribosomal RNA". It matches the Rfam family "Bacterial small subunit ribosomal RNA", at positions 15 to 257 of the family's 1533-position model. The record is from RNAcentral.
GAUCCUGGCUCAGGAUGAACGCUAGCUACAGGCUUAACACAUGCAAGUCGGGGGGCAGCAUGAACUUAGCUUGCUAAGUUUGAUGGCGACCGGCGCACGGGUGAGUAACACGUAUCCAACCUUCCGUUUACUCAGGGAUAGCCUUUCGAAAGAAAGAUUAAUACCUGAUAGUAUGGUAAGAUUGCAUGAUAACACCAUUAAAGAUUUAUUGGUAAACGAUGGGGAUGCGUUCCAUUAGGUAGUAGGCGGGG